Molecule: unclassified non-coding RNA, 684 nt
Filed under: Hevea brasiliensis (rubber tree)
Lineage: Eukaryota; Viridiplantae; Streptophyta; Magnoliopsida; Malpighiales; Euphorbiaceae
Source: RNAcentral
CCUUCUUGACAUUAUUGAAAGAGACUUGUUUCACUCCCAUAUGAAGAAUGUCACAUACUUGCGGCUGGAUGGAUCAGUUGAACCAGACAAACGAUUUGAAAUUGUAAAGGCUUUUAAUUCAGACCCUACUAUUGAUGCAUUAUUGCUUACAACUCACGUUGGUGGCCUUGGUUUGAAUCUGACAUCUGCUGACACCCUUGUUUUCAUGGAGCAUGAUUGGAAUCCAAUGCGAGAUCUUCAGGCGAUGGACAGGGCGCACAGAUUAGGUCAAAAGAAAGUUGUGAAUGUUCAUCGUCUCAUCAUGCGUGGCACGUUAGAAGAGAAAGUUAUGAAUCUCCAGAAAUUCAAAUUGUCUGUUGCCAAUGCUGUUAUUAAUGCAGAGAAUGCCAGCCUGAAAACAAUGAAUACAGACCAAUUACUUGAUUUAUUUGCAUCAGCUGAAACCAGUACAAAGGGAACUCCGACCUCAAAGCGUGCAGACGGUAAGUCCGAUGAUGACCCUAAAUUAAUGGGCACUGGAAAGGGAUUAAAAGCCAUCCUUGGGGGACUGGAAGAGCUCUGGGACCAAUCACAGUACACUGAAGAGUACAAUCUGACACAAUUCUUAGCAAAGCUCAACGGGUGAACCCCAGUUGCUCAAGCUGUGUACAAAGUGUAUAUUUUUUGUUGAGCUAGGAAAAAAAA